This 478-nucleotide ribosomal RNA is filed under the name uncultured bacterium. RNAcentral's name for it is "partial 16S ribosomal RNA". It matches the Rfam family "Bacterial small subunit ribosomal RNA", at positions 28 to 523 of the family's 1533-position model. The record is from RNAcentral.
GACGAACGCUGGCGGCAUGCCUAACACAUGCAAGUCGAGCGAGCUGAUUCCUUCGGGAUGAAGCUAGCGGCGGACGGGUGAGUAACACGUGGGCAACCUGCCUCAUAGAGGGGAAUAGCCUUCCGAAAGGAAGAUUAAUACCGCAUAAGAUUGUAGCUUCGCAUGAAGCAGCAAUUAAAGGAGCAAUCCGCUAUGAGAUGGGCCCGCGGCGCAUUAGCUAGUUGGUGAGGUAACGGCUCACCAAGGCGACGAUGCGUAGCCGACCUGAGAGGGUGAUCGGCCACAUUGGGACUGAGACACGGCCCAGACUCCUACGGGAGGCAGCAGUGGGAAAUAUUGCACAAUGGGGGAAACCCUGAUGCAGCAAUGCCGCGUGAGUGAUGACGGCCUUCGGGUUGUAAAGCUCUGUCUUCGGGGACGAUAAUGACGGUACCCGAGGAGGAAGCCACGGCUAACUACGUGCCAGCCGCCGCGGUAA